Molecule: non-coding RNA, 676 nt
Organism: Cajanus cajan (pigeon pea)
Lineage: Eukaryota; Viridiplantae; Streptophyta; Magnoliopsida; Fabales; Fabaceae
Source: RefSeq, a predicted model, not a curated record
UGCAUUAUUUUGGCUCCUGCUGCAUCUCUUUGCAUCCAAGACUUGGUGUCGGUUUAGACUUGGAAUUCCUCAUUCAGGAUUGUUGAAUAUAGGUGUGAGCUGGAUCCCCCUUCAAUCCUCUGGCAUUGGCAUGUACCAAAUUCGAGAAGCUUAAUAGGGUUUUCUGGGGAAGUAGAGGAUCUACACUAAUUUGAAUGGGGCAUUCUGCAGCUGUGUGGGACUAUAGAGCAGCAACGGAAAUUACAAAGGACUGGAAUGGAAUUGAUCAAAUUGUGCUUCGGACCCCAAGGGGUGCUUCAGCACGGGUAAGCUUACAUGGGGCGCAGGUCACUUCCUGGCGGAAUGAGCAGGGGGAAGAACUUCUAUUCACAAGCAGCAAGGUAUGUCUUUUAAUUUUGAUUAAAAAUAAUUAAUUAUUUUUUUCAAAGUAUAUGGAUUUGUCAUAUGUCAGUGCUGAUAAGGAAAAUAUGUGUCAACGUUUCAUAAUCCUGUUUUCUGAAAUGAGUUCAUUUUGGGAUAAACUGCAUUAUAUUGAAGGUAGUAUGUGGAGGGCAUUGGCUCAGAUAAUCAAUAAAUUCAGAUAGAGUUCGGAUGUUGAUGAAUCGUAACAUUCUAUGUUGCUCAUCAAUCAUAUCAAUGCAAAAGACAAAUAGGGAAGAAAGAGUGCAUUGAUUAA